UCCUCGAUGGUCUAGUGGUCAUGAUUUCCGCUUGUCAUAAACAUGCCAAGCGCGGGAGACCAGGGUUCGAUUCCCUGUCGGGGAG
This is a transfer RNA of Blastomyces gilchristii SLH14081, 85 nucleotides long. It matches the Rfam family "tRNA". Rfam says of the family: Transfer RNA (tRNA) molecules are approximately 80 nucleotides in length. Their secondary structure includes four short double-helical elements and three loops (D, anti-codon, and T loops). Lineage: Eukaryota; Fungi; Ascomycota; Eurotiomycetes; Onygenales; Ajellomycetaceae. The record is from Rfam.